This 335-nucleotide ribosomal RNA is filed under the name uncultured Marinobacter sp. Its description in RNAcentral is "bacterial SSU rRNA". It matches the Rfam family "Bacterial small subunit ribosomal RNA", at positions 1060 to 1394 of the family's 1533-position model. Lineage: Bacteria; Pseudomonadati; Pseudomonadota; Gammaproteobacteria; Pseudomonadales; Marinobacteraceae. The record is from RNAcentral.
UCGUGUCGUGAGAUGUUGGGUUAAGUCCCGUAACGAGCGCAACCCCUAUCCUUGGUUGCUAGCAGGUAAUGCUGAGAACUCCAGGGAGACUGCCGGUGACAAACCGGAGGAAGGUGGGGAUGACGUCAGGUCAUCAUGGCCCUUACGGCCAGGGCUACACACGUGCUACAAUGGUGCGCACAGAGGGCUGCAAACCCGCGAGGGGGAGCCAAUCUCACAAAACGCAUCGUAGUCCGGAUCGCAGUCUGCAACUCGACUGCGUGAAGUCGGAAUCGCUAGUAAUCGCGAAUCAGAAUGUCGCGGUGAAUACGUUCCCGGGUCUUGUACACACCGAA